RNAcentral lists this microRNA precursor (102 nucleotides) under Marmota monax (woodchuck). The record is from RNAcentral. Lineage: Eukaryota; Metazoa; Chordata; Mammalia; Rodentia; Sciuridae.
AAUGGAAUAGCUGGGUAAUAUGGUGGUCCCAUUCCUAUUUUUUGAGGAAUCUCUACACUCCUUUCCAAAGUGGUUGUGCUAAUAUGAAGUCUCACCAACAAU